GUUGACUUGUCAAAGACCUGUUCCUUUUGAUAAAACACAAGACCACCACAGAAGAAUGCGCAACCAAGCACCAGUAACAUGUUUGACAAAAUGGAGCCUAGUAAUGAUAACUGAACAACCCGUAUCAUAUUACUUCUCAGUGCAUAGAUUGCAAUAAUCAGUUCUGUUGCAUUUCCGAAUGUGGCAUUGAGAAGACCACCAACUGUAGAUCCUGUGUAAAAAGCCAGCUGCUCUGUAGCAUAACCUAGUCGCUCAGCCAAAGGUGUUAUACCCAAUAA
Molecule: unclassified non-coding RNA, 278 nt
Filed under: Hevea brasiliensis (rubber tree)
Lineage: Eukaryota; Viridiplantae; Streptophyta; Magnoliopsida; Malpighiales; Euphorbiaceae
Source: RNAcentral